GGUGGGGUGUCCGAGUGGUUUAUGGAAAUAGUCUUGAAAACUAUCAGAGGCGCAAGCCUCUCGUGAGUUCGAAUCUCACCCCCACCG
This 87-nucleotide transfer RNA is filed under the name Candidatus Daviesbacteria bacterium. RNAcentral's name for it is "tRNA-Ser". It matches the Rfam family "tRNA". Rfam says of the family: Transfer RNA (tRNA) molecules are approximately 80 nucleotides in length. Their secondary structure includes four short double-helical elements and three loops (D, anti-codon, and T loops). Lineage: Bacteria; Candidatus Daviesiibacteriota. The record is from RNAcentral.